GAAAGGAAAGGAAAGGAAAGGAAAGGAAAGGAAGAAAGAAUGAAAGAAGGAAAGAAAGAAAAAAAAUAGAAAGAAAAAGAGGGAGGAGAAAGGAAUUUGGAGUAAUAAAAUUCUUAAUCACUGACACUGAUAUUUGACCUUAAAGAACAUCUAAUGAUCCUCUCUCAUUUUAGCACUGAGUUGAGGUGACUAAUUCAAGGUCACACUGCUCGUUAAUGGAAGGGUGGAAGUAGCAAUGCAGUCUGCUAAUUCCUGUCACAAUGUCACUUUUCCCUCUCUCUCCCUCUCCCCCUCCCUCUCCCUAAGCCUGUGUAUGAAUGAGUGGGUGCAUGCGUGUGUGUAUGUGUGUGUGUGUCUAUGUGUGUGCACACACAGUGAUAUACAUGGAGAAUGCUUUGGAAGCUUCUUUAUAACAACAGACGGCUGAUACAUUAUAAAUCUUUUCAUGUCGAUGGAUGCUAGAUGAAUUCAAAGCGUAACAUUAGGAAUUUCUGGCCGAUUUGAAUGGAGAAAGUCAGAGAAUCCAAUGAUAUGUUAGGUAGCUUCUUUGAGACAGCCUGGGAUCUUCCCUUGGAGCCGGAUUUCCUAAAAAGAAAGGAAGGAUAGCUCUGAGUGAUGUUCCUUACUUCUGGCAGGCUGUGGAGGCUGAGAUUAGGGGAGCAGCCUUUUCCCAGCGGCAGUGAUAUGCACGCCCGGGAGCUGAACAAAAUCGUCCAUGGCUUUCUUUUGCUGAAUCACAGGCUUUCUUUGGCUGAAUUUACUGGGAAUCAAUUUCUUCUUGUUUUUUUUUUUUUUUUUUUUUUUUUCCUCUUCUCCAGUCCCCUCCCUUUGUUAACACAACCCCUGUUUUACAGAUUGCCUGGAGAGGAUCUCUUGCUACUUCAUUCUUCUUGGGAUCUACCUAUUCAAGAGGGGAAAUAUAUAUAUAUAUGUAUAUAUAUACACAUAUAUACAUACAUACAUACAUACAUACAUACAUAUAUAUGUGUAUACACACACACACACACACACACAUUUUGGGGGGAUGUUACUUGAAAAUUAAAAAGCCAGUGUUUCUUUGCGAAAAAUAAAGAGAUUUCAUACUGAAGGUGCCACAAAUUAGAAACAUGGGGCUUUGAAGGUCUGUGAAAAUACUAAGAAAGCAUUUGAGAAAAUAAGGACUUUGAAUAAAUUUCCCCUUGGAAAUUGAUCUUGUUGGUUUCUACUGGAGUCAUUUGUCUUGGAAAUCCAAUUCCUCAGCGCAUAAUCUCAGAGCCGUACUGAGUUUUGAUGACAGGAUUAGAAACACUCACUCACCUCCACCCUGAUCUUCGCAGGCAAACCAUUAUGGCACCAGCAGCAGGAAGCUGAUGCCAGGAGCUGCUGCGAAGCAUUUGUUCACACAGGGAGCUCGGUAACUGGCCAGAAGACGGAGGCUUAUGCAUAUUGAUAUCUAAAUUUCCUGCAACGUUUUACAAGUUUUGAAUUCGACAUUUGGAAGGUUCCUGUCAGUUUUCCAGACAAUUUGCAAAAUGCUGAACAGGCUCACAAGGGGUUCUUCUGGCGGACUUCUCAGGUGAGGCUGGGUCCAGGUGGCCUUGAGAUCCACCAUAAGCCUGUCUUCUCUAGGAAGCGACAGUCUCUGCAAAGAGAGAUGUAUAGUGGGCACAGUGGGUGCUGAACUUCAAGUCAGAAACCCCUUUUUUACCCACCAACAUAAAACUGUAUGCAUAGUAAGAGCCCACUUAAAAAAAAAGUACACAGAUAUUUAUAUCUGUCAACCAUGAAUUUGGAAGAAAAUUGUAAGAUAUAAAAAUCAAUCAAAUCAAAUCAAUCAAAAGUAUUGAUUUUGUCUGUGUAGUGAGAUUAUAGGUGAUCUUUUCCUUUUAUUGCAAAGGCAGAGUGCUUUUAUAUUUGUAAAGUAGCCUUUGGUAUUUUCUUUUUAGGAUUUUUUUGGUGUUUUCUGAUUUUUUUGUUUUUGCAACAAACAUGAAUUACCUUUGUAAUGAGAAAAUAUCUAAGAAUGCAUAAAAAUGUAUGAAAUAUUUGACAUGCAAAUAAGCACUAGAUUUGGACAGGCUCCAAAAUGAGAUUCUUGUCUCUACAAAUCGCACUGGAAUCACAUUUACUCAGGAAAUCUACUGUGUGUGCCAUUAAGGCCAGCCCAAGGAGAAGCUGUAUAAAAACCAGAUUUACCAUUUUGUCCGUAGUGCUGCUGAUGGGGGUGUCUGAGGCCCAUACUUUUAUAUCUUGCUUCAGCUGGUACAUUCAAUUGUUCAAACUGAACAUUCUGAAGAUGUACAUGUCUCAGUGUACGCUAAUCAGAUAUUAAUAAAAAAGAAAUAAAAAUAAAAGAAUCAAU
This is a long non-coding RNA of Lutra lutra (Eurasian river otter), 2341 nucleotides long. RefSeq lists it as uncharacterized. The record is from RefSeq and is a predicted model, not a curated record. The transcript has 2 exons. NCBI's taxonomy places the organism in Eukaryota, Metazoa, Chordata, Mammalia, Carnivora, Mustelidae.